Molecule: ribosomal RNA, 267 nt
Filed under: uncultured bacterium
Lineage: Bacteria
Description: partial 16S ribosomal RNA
Rfam family: Bacterial small subunit ribosomal RNA
Source: RNAcentral
GUCCACGCCGUAAACGAUGAACACUAGUUAUUGGGGGUAUUGACUCCCUCAGUGACGCAGCUAACGCAUUAAGUGUUCCGCCUGGGGGAGUACGGCCGCAAGGCUAAAACUCAAAACAAUUGACGGGGGCCCGCACAAGCGGUGGAUUAUGUGGUUUAAUUCGAAGCAACGCGCAGAACCUUACCUAGGCUUGAACUCCUCAGAAUUCGACGUAAUGGUUGAAGUGCCCGCAAGGGAAUUGAGUGAGAGGUGCUGCAUGGCUGUCGU